ACUGCUGCCCUUCGCCGCCGCCCCCGGCAGUGCUCGCUCUCUCUAGGCCCCAUGUAAAUCGCUGUGUUUGCUGGGGAGCCCUUAGUUCAAUUCUCAGGGGAUUAGGGCCAUUGAGAUUCUUAAUCAAUUGCUGGGUUCCACGCGAUCCUCUUUAGAAACUUUUUGCUUAAUAUGCAUCUAGAGACAUGCACGGCCCGCCUGCAGCGCUGGAGCCGAUGGAGUGGAGCCUGGGAGGCUGCAGGCGACCCCCAGGCUUCUAAACAGCAACGUCAGUUUAAUUAUUGCAGAUCCGUCACAGCUGCCAAGUCCUCUCUGUCUUCGUUGUUGUUAACGGGGAAACUUGCCGCCCGGUGGCUUUGCUUCAGGCGGAAGUCCGCGUGCUUUGAUACCCUCAGGGGGCACUUACAGGCUAGGUGGACACAGGUGGGCUGCGGGACUCCGCGAAUUUACCUUCCAGGGGAAUGCACUGCACACAUGCUGCACACAGGAGACAGGGAAGCCUGGCGAGGUUGGGUUUUCAGGCGCCACUGUAUACACUCUCAGUUCCACUGAUACCCUUUCUUUCUUCUACCC
Molecule: long non-coding RNA, 573 nt
Filed under: Homo sapiens (human)
Lineage: Eukaryota; Metazoa; Chordata; Mammalia; Primates; Hominidae
Description: non-protein coding lnc-C9orf66-15:10
Source: RNAcentral